ACGCUAGCUACAGGCUUAACACAUGCAAGUCGAGGGGAAACGGCAUUAAGUGCUUGCACUUUUUGGACGUCGACCGGCGCACGGGUGAGUAACGCGUAUCCAACCUUCCCAUGACUAAGGGAUAACCUGCCGAAAGGCAGACUAAUACCUUAUGGUCUUCACUGACGGCAUCAGAUGUGAAGUAAAGAUUUAUCGGUUAUGGAUGGGGAUGCGUCUGAUUAGUUAGUUGGCGGGGUAACGGCCCACCAAGGCAACGAUCAGUAGGGGUUCUGAGAGGAAGGUCCCCCACAUUGGAACUGAGACACGGUCCAAACUCCUACGGGAGGCAGCAGUGAGGAAUAUUGGUCAAUGGGCGAGAGCCUGAACCAGCCAAGUAGCGUGCAGGAAGACGGCCCUAUGGGUUGUAAACUGCUUUUGUAUGGGGAUAAAGUCAAUCACGUGUGAUUGUUUGCAGGUACCAUACGAAUAAGGACCGGCUAAUUCCGUGCCAGCAGCCGCGGUAAUACGGAAGGUCCGGGCGUUAUCCGGAUUUAUUGGGUUUAAAGGGAGCGUAGGCUGGAGAUUAAGUGUGUUGUGAAAUGUAGACGCUCAACGUCUGACUUGCAGCGCAUACUGGUUUCCUUGAGUACGCACAACGUUGGCGGAAUUCGUCGUGUAGCGGUGAAAUGCUUAGAUAUGACGAAGAACUCCGAUUGCGAAGGCAGCUGACGGGAGCGCAACUGACGCUGAAGCUCGAAGGUGCGGGUAUCGAACAGGAUUAGAUACCCUGGUAGUCCGCACAGUAAACGAUGGAUGCCCGCUGUUGGUACCUGGUAUCAGCGGCUAAGCGAAAGCAUUAAGCAUCCCACCUGGGGAGUACGCCGGCAACGGUGAAACUCAAAGGAAUUGACGGGGGCCCGCACAAGCGGAG
This 910-nucleotide ribosomal RNA is filed under the name uncultured bacterium. RNAcentral describes it as "bacterial SSU rRNA". It matches the Rfam family "Bacterial small subunit ribosomal RNA", at positions 33 to 934 of the family's 1533-position model. The record is from RNAcentral.